GAUGAACGCUAGCUACAGGCUUAACACAUGCAAGUCGUGGGGCAGCAUGAAGGAAGCUUGCUUCCUUUGAUGGCGACCGGCGCACGGGUGAGUAACGCGUAUCCAACCUUCCCCUUACUAGGGGAUAGCCCGGCGAAAGUCGGAUUAAUACUCUAUGUUCUCCUUUGCAGGCAUCUAAUGAGGAGCAAAGAUUCAUCGGUAAGGGAUGGGGAUGCGUCUGAUUAGGCAGACGGCGGGGUAACGGCCCACCGUACCGACGAUCAGUAGGGGUUCUGAGAGGAAGGUCCCCCACAUUGGAACUGAGACACAGUCCAAACUCC
RNAcentral lists this ribosomal RNA (320 nucleotides) under uncultured Prevotella sp. RNAcentral's name for it is "bacterial SSU rRNA". It matches the Rfam family "Bacterial small subunit ribosomal RNA", at positions 28 to 339 of the family's 1533-position model. Lineage: Bacteria; Pseudomonadati; Bacteroidota; Bacteroidia; Bacteroidales; Prevotellaceae. The record is from RNAcentral.